CGCAUGCGCUGGGGGUGCCGCGCCGGGGAUUCUUCUCCGGGGCAGCUGAGACCAAACCCUUCGAACCUGACCGGGGUAAUUCCCGCGCAGGGAAGCAACGAUGACCACGA
Molecule: non-coding RNA, 110 nt
Filed under: Burkholderiales bacterium
Lineage: Bacteria; Pseudomonadati; Pseudomonadota; Betaproteobacteria; Burkholderiales
Description: TPP sequence
Rfam family: TPP riboswitch aptamer (THI element)
About the family: Vitamin B(1) in its active form thiamin pyrophosphate (TPP) is an essential coenzyme that is synthesised by coupling of pyrimidine and thiazole moieties in bacteria. The previously detected thiamin-regulatory element, thi box was extended, resulting in a new, highly conserved RNA secondary structure, the THI element, which is widely distributed in eubacteria and also occurs in some archaea.
Source: RNAcentral